AAACCAACAGGGAUUGCCUUAGUAACGGCGAGUGAAGCGGCAAAAGCUCAAAUUUGAAAUCGGCCUCCAGGUCGAGUUGUAAUUUGUAGAUUGUAUUUUAGGUGUUUGUCGAAAGUCUAUUGGAACAUAGUGCCGUAGAGGGUGAGAGCCCCGUAAGACAUUACCUAUUGUAAAAUACUUUCAAA
This 185-nucleotide ribosomal RNA is filed under the name uncultured Ascomycota. Its description in RNAcentral is "partial 26S ribosomal RNA". It matches the Rfam family "Eukaryotic large subunit ribosomal RNA", at positions 62 to 261 of the family's 3401-position model. The record is from RNAcentral. Lineage: Eukaryota; Fungi; Ascomycota.